GAUGAACGCUGGCGGCGUGCCUAAUACAUGCAAGUCGAGCGAACGGACGAGAAGCUUGCUUCUCUGAUGUUAGCGGCGGACGGGUGAGUAACACGUGGAUAACCUACCUAUAAGACUGGGAUAACUUCGGGAAACCGUAGCUAAUACCGGAUAAUAUUUUGAACCGCAUGGUUCAAAAGUGAAAGACGGUCUUGCUGUCACUUAUAGAUGGAUCCGCGCUGCAUUAGCUAGUUGGUAAGGUAACGGCUUACCAAGGCAACGAUGCAUAGCCGACCGGAGAGGGUGAUCGGCCACACUGGAACUGAGACACGGUCCAGACUCCUACGGGAGGCAGCAGUAGGGAAUCUUCCGCAAUGGGCGAAAGCCUGACGGAGCAACGCCGCGUGAGUGAUGAAGGUCUUCGGAUCGUAAAACUCUGUUAUUAGGGAAGAACAUAUGUGUAAGUAACUGUGCACAUCUUGACGUUACCUAAUCAGAAAGCCACGGCUAACUACGUG
This 497-nucleotide ribosomal RNA is filed under the name uncultured bacterium. Its description in RNAcentral is "partial 16S ribosomal RNA". It matches the Rfam family "Bacterial small subunit ribosomal RNA", at positions 28 to 507 of the family's 1533-position model. The record is from RNAcentral.